AUAUAAAAUAUUUUUUAGUUUAAGAUAUAAACUUAGCCUUGCUGGGAAUAGAGCUAAGUACAAAUUAAUGUAUAAUUGAAUGUUAACUCAUUACAUGCUAUAUCCAGGCCAGAAUUUCUAUGUCACUCUGUUUGGCCUGAAAUCGAACGAAGGUACAAUUGAAUUGUCCAACGGUGUAGACUGGCAUAUACUGUGUUCGGAUGGUUGGGAUGAUGCAGAUGCUGCUGUGGCCUGUCGUAUGUUAGGCCAUUCAGGGAAUGGAGCGAGAGCAAUGUCUAAUACCAUUAUUACUGGCCAAGCACAUACUAUUUGGUGGUUUCAGUUUCAUUGCAAAGGUGAUGAAAAUGUGUUAUCCGAAUGCGAAAUCAGCUACCUGUCUUCACUAACAUGCAAAAGAGCUGGAGUCCAUUGUUCUGAAGAAAAGGUUGUUCCAGAUUUCUUUCUAAAAGCAACAAGAAAAGGAAUAUCGAAGACGAACCCUUUUACAAUGAGUGGCUAUGUCAACUUGAAUAACCCGUGUAGAAAUGAUUUCAACAAAGAUGUGGUAUAUGAUUCUGUUUACGACCAGUUCAUGUACUUCAAAUCCGGAUCACUUUUUGGAUGCAGAUGGGACGAUAAAGAUGUAGAGAUUCGUAAAAACACUAGCGUGUUGAGUUAUCCGGCCCUGGAUUCAGAUGAUCGACUUUUGUUUGGCUAUUUAGACAAUGACAUAGUAUCCCUGAGAUUAGAUGAUGCCGCCUCUGAAUUUGUGGUUGUAGUUCCUGGAACAAGCGUUGGAACAGAACUGGUUCUAGAUACAGAACGGAAUGAAAUUUAUUGGUGGAGACCGUAUUUUCACAACGUCAUAAAACGAGUUCGUUACAAUGGAGAUGCAGAGAUAGAUUUUUGGAGAUCAUCCAGCUAUUUCAAAAUGUUCACUUUUAACGGUGACAAUAUAUUCAGUAUUGAUUCGCGUUAUCGGGGAAUUACCAGGAUUCAUCACAACACAACUGUUGCUGACGUCUUGUACUCGCACUAUGGUGUAAUGGAUGACUGCGGUAAGCUGUAUGCAGAUCAUGAAUGGAUUUACUGUAUAGGAUAUAAAAAUAUGAAUAUACUGCGGUUACAGAAGGAUGGAAAGGGAAGUAGUUCCUAUGGUCAAUCGGAGUCGGGUAUUCUCUACCACUACAGUCCAAAAUCAUCAUGUAAGACUUUAUUCUGUUCAUGCUUACGCUACAAACCUGUAUAUCACACGUCUUCAUUUCCUUUAUUUUGUUCCCAUUAUUCAUAAAUGAUAUUGCCUGAGCCGUUUCGCCUUCAGAACUUUCAGAAGCCAUUUAUAUGUUAUACACCCAACUAAGUCCCAGUAAUGUUUGACAAUCAAUAGACAUGGACUCAGUGCACAAAUGGUGCUCUCAAGUGUGUUGUAAAAAAGGAAAAGGACGGAGGGAUUUUUCCGUUUCAUUGUGAAAAAAUCCAGCAAUAACAUUUUAACUGUCGUUAAAGAAAGACACCUUAUGCAUCCUUAUGUAUUCACUAUGACAACUAGCCUUCACAACAGAAAUUGUACAAAUAUUUCAAUUUGAAAUAUAUUAACAUUAUUACAAAAUAUGACCUCAUAUUUUCUGGGUUCCCAGCGAUGUGGGAGUAUUGGGUAAUGCAAACCGCGAAAGCAGCUUUAUUGCUACCACGUGUGGAUUCUAAAUUUCAUUUUACUGAUUUUAAAGCAAUUGUAACAAUGUUUUGAGGAUCACAUUGGCAAAAUCCCUGGAAUCAAUACAUAGACAGUAAAUUACAUUCUGCAAAGCAUUAUUUGGUGAAUGGCAUCCUAACUACAAAGUAGUCGCCCGAACAAAGGAGGCGCCGAGUCCAACAAUUACUGUCUCUACAAGUUCUCUGAAAGUUGUUUUUCUUUUUGAAAACAUAUGAGUCUCCAUAACCAUUUCUAAUCAAGUUGACGUUUGUCUUUUAACUUUGUUUGAUGUCAUUUUUCAUUUUGCAUUUGUUUUUGUCGACCAUUAAUUGGCCUCUAUGACCUCCCCCUUGUUGAUGGACCGUGAAGUAUAUUAUAAUAAUGUUAACAAAAACAGGAAAAGAAGUACGUGUCUUAACGCAUGCUACCCUCGGUAUUGGUAUGUUAUGUGUCUUUAACAACCAUUCCGUAAAUCACUUCCACCCUUGAUCCAUUAGCAAAGAUAAGAGUAACUAUUACAUGGUUUUUGUAGAGUCUGUUUACCGUUAUCUGUUACAAGCUGUUAUUGAUAUACAUUUUCUGCAAUAAACAUACUAAAUCGACUUACAAUGAGGUAAGACAAAUGGAACCAUAUAAGGAUAUACUCCUGGGGUAAGUACGUGUGAUUGUGGGUCUGCAAGAUAGACUAGAGGGAGCCCUGUGAUAGGUGAGUACACAUCCAUCGCAAUCAGGUAUAAUGUGUUUGUUCUUGUGAUCUUGUUGACAUGUCAUGGUGUUUCAUUUUGUCGUCACUUAUAUACAUUAUACCAAGAGGAGGAAUUUUAACCCAAGUAGUACAUAACAGACUGUUAGUAAAACGUCAACAAGUUUGUAAAUAAAUCUUUGGUUUCCUGUUUAACAAUAACUCAGAAAAAUGUAUAUUUGAUGUAUUAAAUACAUGAAAAGAAAUUGUUGACAAAAUGAUGUUUUAAACAGAUUUAUUGUAAUUUCAAUGAUUUAAGCAUAUUAAAAGGCAAUAUUGUGAAUUACAAGCGUAAAAACAAUGUGAAAGAAUACACAAUAAUAUUAAUACUCUGUAAAUUGUAUUACGUUAUCUGUCGGCGACAUGAACUGGUUGAGAAUGACAAAGAUACGGGUACAGAGACUUAAAUAAUCCGAAGACUCACUGAUUUCAACGCUCUACGCUCCUGUUUUUUUGGGUUUUAACAUCUUCAAAGACGAUAAAAUCGCACAGAGACGUUUUCAACGUUGUCAGCAGAUGGCUCGAGCACAUCUUACUGAAAUGUUGUAACCUGGACAUGGCAACACAACCCUAUCUGGUACGCAUAGUUAUGAUUGAUAUCAUUAAGAAAAAGAAACCAUGUGAAAUGUUUGAGAUGCAGUAAAACUGUCUGAACGGAAUAAUGCAGCUUACCACCAAAACAACUGUUUAAUUGGUGGUUUAGUAAAAAUAAUAAUCAUAUCAAAUUAACGAUACAAACUUCCAUACAGCAGCGCAAUAACGCCUACUAAAAUGGCGAAGCUCAAACCUCUAGUCAUGUCAGAUUGUUUCACUUUUCUUCUUAGAUGCUGUGGUGCUUUGUAUGAAGGACUGUAAGCUGUCCCGGACAGUUCUGCACUGGAGACGGAGCCGGGCCGGAGUUGAUGUAAUAUUUCCGUUGCUGCACGUAUCCCGGCCUGGACCCCGCCGGACAUGUACCCAUCCCAUUCUAUGGCGCCAUCAGCGCCGGCAAAGUG
Molecule: unclassified non-coding RNA, 3409 nt
Filed under: Mizuhopecten yessoensis (Yesso scallop)
Lineage: Eukaryota; Metazoa; Mollusca; Bivalvia; Pectinida; Pectinidae
Description: uncharacterized LOC110464225, transcript variant X1
Source: RNAcentral